AAGGAGUUGGGGAUUUAGCUCAGUGGUAGAAUGCUUGCCUAGCAAGCGCAAGGCCCUGGGUUCAGUCCUCAGCUCUGUGAAAGGAAAAAAAAAGACAAAAUAAAUAAUUUAGGAAGUAUAUGUUAAUUGAGGGAAAGAAUAUAAGUAAAUCAAAUUACAUCAUUAUU
This 167-nucleotide small RNA is filed under the name Mus musculus (house mouse). RNAcentral's name for it is "Brain Cytoplasmic RNA BC1". The record is from RNAcentral. Lineage: Eukaryota; Metazoa; Chordata; Mammalia; Rodentia; Muridae.